This 962-nucleotide non-coding RNA is filed under the name Zapteryx exasperata (banded guitarfish). RNAcentral describes it as "12S ribosomal RNA". It matches the Rfam family "Bacterial small subunit ribosomal RNA". The record is from RNAcentral. Lineage: Eukaryota; Metazoa; Chordata; Chondrichthyes; Rhinopristiformes; Rhinobatidae.
CAGCAGGUUUGGUCCUAGCCUCAGUAUUAUUUUUAACUAAACUUAUACAUGCAAGUUUCAGCAUUCCUGUGAGAACGCCCUAGACAAACCAUAAUUUGACUAGAUGCCGGUAUCAGGCACAUAUAUAUUGUAUAGCCCAUGACACCUCGCUUAACCACAUCCCCAAGGAACUUCAGCAGUAAUAAACAUUGAAACAUAAGCGCAAGCUUGAACCAGUUAUAGUUAAGAGUGUUGGUUAAUCUCGUGCCAGCCACCGCGGUUAUACGAGUAACACAUAUUAAUACUUCACGGCGUAAAGGGUGAUUAAAAAUAAUCUUACUUUACUAAAGUAAAGACCUCAUCAAGCUGUCAUACGCACUUAUGAAUGGAAAACCCAACCAACGAAAGUAACUUUACAAAAACAGAAUUUUUGACCUCACGAUAGUUAAGACCCAAACUAGGAUUAGAUACCCUAUUAUGCUUAACCCUAAACAUUGUUAAUAAAUUAUACUAUUUACUCGCCUGAGUACUACAAGCGCUAGCUUUAAACCCAAAGGACUUGGCGGUGCCCCAGACCCACCUAGAGGAGCCUGUUCUAUAACCGAUAAUCCCCGUUUAACCUUACCACUUCUUGUUUUCUGUAACCGCCUAUAUACCGCCGUCGUCAGCUCACCCUUUGAAGGGAUAAAAGUAAGCAAAAUGAAUUAUCUUCAAUACGUCAGGUCGAGGUGUAGCGAAUGAAAUGGAAAGAAAUGGGCUACAUUUCCUAUGAAGGAAACACGAAUAGUAAAAUGAAAAAUUACUUAAAGGUGGAUUUAGCAGUAAGAAAACCUUAGAAUAUUUUUCUGAAACUGGCUCUGAGGCGCGCACACACCGCCCGUCACUCUCCUUAACAAAAAAUAAUUUUAUAUAAAAAAAUUCACUAAACAAGAGGAGGCAAGUCGUAACAUGGUAAGUGUACUGGAAAGUGUACUUGGAAUAAC